UUUAGAAAGCGUUAAAGCUCCAUUAAACUUCUACUCUUAAUACCAAAAUUUUUGUUAAUCCCUUUAUUUCUAUUGAAUGAUUCUAUACUCCUAUAGAAGACCUAAUGCUAAAACUAGUAACAAGAAAUUGUAUUUCUCUAAAACACAAGUAUAUGUCAAAACGGACAAACCAUUGAUAAUUAACGCCAAUGAGCCACAUAUAGCAACCACACAAGAAAACACUACAUAUUUAAACGUUAAUCUUACACAAGUGUGUUUGUAGAAAGAUUAAAAAAAAGGGAAGGAACUCGGCAAACUUUAACCCCGCCUGUUUACCAAAAACAUCGCCUCUUGAUAAAACAUAAGAGGUCCAGCCUGCCCAGUGACACAAUUAAACGGCCGCGGUACUCUGACCGUGCGAAGGUAGCAUAAUCACUUGUUCUCUAAAUAAGGACUUGUAUCAACGGCAUCACGAGGGUUAUACUGUCUCCCCUUUUUAAUCAGUGAAACUGACUUCCCCGUGAAGAGGCGGGGAUAGACCUACAAGACGAGAAGACCCCAUGGAGCUUUAAACCCAAUAGCACUCUCCAACCAAAUAGACCCACUAAACUUAAAGUUUCUGCUUAUUGGUUUUAGGUUGGGGUGACCACGGAGUAAAACUAAACCUCCAUGACGAAUAGAUUUCAUCCUAAUCUCAGGGCCACUGCCCUAAGAAUCAAGAAUUUGACGUAAAAUGAUCCGAUAACUCGAUCAACGAACCAAGUUACCCUGGGGAUAACAGCGCAAUCCAUUUCAAGAGCCCCUAUCGACAAAUGGGUUUACGACCUCGAUGUUGGAUCAGGGUAUCCCAGUGGUGCAGCCGCUACUAAAGGUUUGUUUGUUCAACAAUUAAA
RNAcentral lists this ribosomal RNA (872 nucleotides) under Limnonectes kadarsani. Its description in RNAcentral is "partial large subunit ribosomal RNA". It matches the Rfam family "Bacterial large subunit ribosomal RNA", at positions 1493 to 2592 of the family's 2925-position model. Lineage: Eukaryota; Metazoa; Chordata; Amphibia; Anura; Dicroglossidae. The record is from RNAcentral.